This 68-nucleotide transfer RNA is filed under the name Nothocercus julius. Its description in RNAcentral is "tRNA-Arg". Lineage: Eukaryota; Metazoa; Chordata; Aves; Tinamiformes; Tinamidae. The record is from RNAcentral.
AGAAAGUUAGUCUAAACAAGACAGCUGAUUUCGGCUCAGCAAAUUACAGAAUACACUGUAACUUUCUU